Paramuricea clavata is the source of this 211-nucleotide non-coding RNA. The record is from the annotation of a GenBank genome assembly. NCBI's taxonomy places the organism in Eukaryota, Metazoa, Cnidaria, Anthozoa, Malacalcyonacea, Plexauridae.
AUAAUUAGAAGAAAGAAAUAGAGCCAUGCUUACCUGAAUUUUUCCGAAUAUUUUCGAUCUCUUGCAUCCGUAUGAAAAGCUUGUAAAAUCUUUUGAUUCUUGAAGCACAUGGAGAUACGUGCGCAAUACAAAAUCUUGUUUUGACCGCUCCCCUCAUUUAACAAACGUUCCUGAAGCUUAAUUAUCCCCCCCCCCCGGAUUACGACAUCUU